AGAGUUUGAUCAUGGCUCAGGAUGAACGCUAGCGGCAGGCCUAAUACAUGCAAGUCGAGGGGUAUAGGGAGCUUGCUUCCUAGAGACCGGCGCACGGGUGCGUAACGCGUAUGCAACCUACCAUUGCCUGGGGGAUAGCCCGGAGAAAUCCGGAUUAAUACCGCAUAAAAUCACAGUACCGCAUGGUACAAUGAUCAAACAUUCAUGGGGCGGUGAUGGGCAUGCGUGCCAUUAGUUAGUUGGCGGGGUAACGGCCCACCAAGACCGCGAUGGCUAGGGGAUCUGAGAGGAUGGCCCCACACUGGUACUGAGACACGGACCAGACUCCUACGGGAGGCAGCAGUAAGGAAUAUUGGUCAAUGGGCGCAAGCCUGAACCAGCCAUGCCGCGUGCAGGAAGACGGCCCUCUGGUUGUAAACUGCUUUUAUUCGGGAAUAAACCUGUCUACGUGUAGACAGCUGAAUGUACCGAAGGAAUAAGGAUCGGCUAACUCCGUGCCAGCAGCCGCGGUAAUACGGAGGAUCCAAGCGUUAUCCGGAUUUAUUGGGUUUAAAGGGUGCGUAGGCGGCCUGUUAAGUCAGGGGUGAAAGACGGUAGCUCAACUAUCGCAGUGCCCUUGAUACUGAUGGGCUUGAAUUGACUAGAGGUAGGCGGAAUGUGACAAGUAGCGGUGAAAUGCAUAGAUAUGUCACAGAACACCGAUUGCGAAGGCAGCUUACUAUGGUCUUAUUGACGCUGAGGCACGAAAGCGUGGGGAUCAAACAGGAUUAGAUACCCUGGUAGUCCACGCCCUAAACGAUGAACACUCGCUGUUGGCGAUACACAGUCAGCGGCUAAGCGAAAGCGUUAAGUGUUCCACCUGGGGAGUACGCCCGCAAGGGUGAAACUCAAAGGAAUUGACGG
This 903-nucleotide ribosomal RNA is filed under the name uncultured bacterium. Its description in RNAcentral is "bacterial SSU rRNA". It matches the Rfam family "Bacterial small subunit ribosomal RNA", at positions 8 to 916 of the family's 1533-position model. The record is from RNAcentral.